AAGAACAACACAGUGAUUUAGGCCAGUUUGCCUAGAAUAAUGCAUUACACACUUUGCUACCAACCAUGUUUAAACCCCUUAUAGGUUUUUUUUCUACAUAUGUUAUCCUUUCUUUUUAAUAAUUUAUUUUCAGAUUAAAGCUCUGAAACCUGUAAAUGAGAAAUCCUAAUGAAUUGAUAAUGGCAGCCUUAUUGGUUGUCACCCAGUUUCUGCACAAACAGAAUUGACAAAUGGUUGCGUUUGUAUGUUUUCUCCAUAUUUGUAACAAACAUAUAGCAAAUCACUUUGAUAGAACAACGAAGGUCACUUAUUGGACAUGAUGGAAAGCCUGUCAUAUUACUAUUCAAGACAAGGGAAAGAAUUUCAUAUGUAGAUACUGUAGAUGUGCUUUGGCCUCAUACAUCUUUCAACAAACUGAAAAGAAAAAAAAUAAUUUGUACAUACCUUGGGCGUCAGCACAAUGGCAGAUCCUCCAUUAAUGCCAAUGAUGGGCAUAGAUGUUUGUGCAGAGAUAAAGUCAAG
Long non-coding RNA from Hyla sarda, 522 nucleotides. RefSeq lists it as uncharacterized. The transcript has 3 exons. Lineage: Eukaryota; Metazoa; Chordata; Amphibia; Anura; Hylidae. The record is from RefSeq and is a predicted model, not a curated record.